Micropterus dolomieu (smallmouth bass) is the source of this 584-nucleotide long non-coding RNA. RefSeq lists it as uncharacterized. Lineage: Eukaryota; Metazoa; Chordata; Actinopteri; Centrarchiformes; Centrarchidae. The transcript has 3 exons. The record is from RefSeq and is a predicted model, not a curated record.
UUGGCGACGGUGGUCCUGCGUUGUGGUGUGCUGUUUGCGAGCGCUGUCAUGGCUGUCAUGGCCUGUAACCGAACAGUUUAGCUGGUGGUAAUGGUCCUAAAUCUGUGUAUGUGCACGCGAUGUUGCUCUCAAUCCGUGUGAGCGAACCGUUUGCCGUGCUGCCUGUCUCUUGCCAGUGGGCUGAUUAUGUGUGUGCGCUGUGGAAACAUGGGGUGAUCUGCUGCACUGCUGAACGGCGGCUCGUGUCUUGGCUUUGGGUAUCUCUCUCUCUCCCCCUGUGGGAUUGCCCUCUGCCUGGUCAGCCCAGUUCCGGCUCUGUCUUGGCUCUAAGUGGGCUUGCCGGUUUUAGCAUUUCUUUGUGGUUUGGGUCUAGUUAUAGUAUAUUUAGUUUAUGGUUGGCAUUUUGCUUUGGGUAUGUUAUUUUCAAUCUUCUGUUUUAAUUUAGGUUGGUUUAAAUUAUUUGAUUUGCAUGUUUUGAUUAAUUUUUGGUGUGUUUUAUCCUUUUUGCCACUGUGUAUUUUAAAUUAUUAGACCCAUAUUUCUAUUUUAUUCAGUAAUGGCAUGCCUUUUUAAUUGGUAUACAU